Molecule: ribosomal RNA, 482 nt
Filed under: uncultured Methanosaeta sp.
Lineage: Archaea; Methanobacteriati; Methanobacteriota; Methanomicrobia; Methanotrichales; Methanotrichaceae
Description: bacterial SSU rRNA
Rfam family: Archaeal small subunit ribosomal RNA
Source: RNAcentral
UUAAAGGAAUUGACGGGGAGCACCACAACGGGUGGAGCUUGCGGUUUAAUUGGAUUCAACGCCGGAAAUCUUACCGGGACCGACAGCAAUAUGAAGGCCAGGCUGAAGACUUUGCCGGAUUAGCUGAGAGGUGGUGCAUGGCCGUCGUCAGUUCGUACUGUGGAGCAUCCUGUUAAGUCAGGCAACGAGCGAGACCCACGCCCACAGUUGCCAGCGUACUCUCUGGAGUGACGGGUACACUGUGGGGACCGCCGCUGCUAAAGCGGAGGAAGGAAUGGGCAACGGUAGGUCAGUAUGCCCCGAAUAUCCCGGGCUACACGCGAGCUACAAUGGUUGGUACAAUGGGUAUCUACCCCGAAAGGGGACGGGAAUCUCCUAAAACCAAUCUUAGUUCGGAUUGAGGGCUGCAACUCGCCCUCAUGAAGCUGGAAUCCGUAGUAAUCGCGUUUCAACAGAACGCGGUGAAUACGUCCCUGCUCCUU